CAGUCGCCACGGUAAUACAGAGGGUGCGAGCGUUAAUCGGAUUUACUGGGCGUAAAGCGUGCGUAGGCGGCUUCUUAAGUCGGAUGUGAAAUCCCUGAGCUUAACUUAGGAAUUGCAUUCGAUACUGGGAAGCUAGAGUAUGGGAGAUGAUGGUAGAAUUCCAGGUGUAGCGGUGAAAUGCGUAGAGAUCUGGAGGAAUACCGAUGGCGAAGGCAGCCAUCUUGCCUAAUACUGACGCUGAGGUACGAAAGCAUGGGGAGCAAACAGGAUUAGAUACCCCGGUAGUCCCUGUCUCUUAUAA
This 301-nucleotide ribosomal RNA is filed under the name uncultured bacterium. RNAcentral's name for it is "partial 16S ribosomal RNA". It matches the Rfam family "Bacterial small subunit ribosomal RNA", at positions 509 to 809 of the family's 1533-position model. The record is from RNAcentral.